GGUGACUUGGUCUUUAAGGAUUUGAUUCAAGGGUGGUGAAUCGGCACGUGCAGCCCACAACGCCUAGUAAGUCGACCCAAGAAUUUGAGGGUCAAAACGAGUUCACCGUCCUCAGGCAGAUGCGGCAUCUUCUCGAGUUCUUCAUCUCAGACUCUUUCUGCUGAGUUGACUGUGCAUGCUGCAUUCUUCUCUGCUUGUUUCUUCAGGCAGAUGUGGCAGCUUCUCGAGUUCCUCAGUUCGGACUCCUUCUGCUGAGUUGACCGUGCCGACCGCAUUCUUCUCUGCUUGUUCCUUCUGCACCUUGUCUCCACAUGCUGCAAGGUAUCAUUUUCACUUGCCUUAUCUGUUCUCCAGGCAGAUGUGGCAGCUUCUUUG
This 375-nucleotide long non-coding RNA is filed under the name Malus domestica (apple). Its description in RNAcentral is "long non-coding RNA (MDOM_LNC008841)". Lineage: Eukaryota; Viridiplantae; Streptophyta; Magnoliopsida; Rosales; Rosaceae. The record is from RNAcentral.